RNAcentral lists this ribosomal RNA (253 nucleotides) under uncultured bacterium. RNAcentral describes it as "partial 16S ribosomal RNA". It matches the Rfam family "Bacterial small subunit ribosomal RNA", at positions 524 to 776 of the family's 1533-position model. The record is from RNAcentral.
UACGUAGGGACCGAGCGUUGUCCGGAAUCAUUGGGCGUAAAGAGCGUGUAGGCGGCCAACUAAGUCCUGCGUGAAAUCUCGGGGCUCAACCCCGAGCGGUCGUGGGAAACUGGUUGGCUAGAGUGCGGGAGAGGAGAGUGGAAUUCCUGGUGUAGCGGUGAAAUGCGCAGAUAUCAGGAAGAACACCGGUGGCGAAGGCGGCUCUCUGGGCCUUACCUGACGCUGAGGAGCGAAAGCGUGGGUAGCGAACAGG